RNAcentral lists this small nucleolar RNA (55 nucleotides) under Saccharolobus islandicus HVE10/4. RNAcentral describes it as "Sulfolobus islandicus HVE10/4 non-coding RNA". RNAcentral also lists the same sequence under 1 other name. The record is from RNAcentral. Lineage: Archaea; Thermoproteati; Thermoproteota; Thermoprotei; Sulfolobales; Sulfolobaceae.
UGAAAUGAUGUCUGGUGACGGCUCUGAGCCAGUGAUGUCGCCAAAAAGUCUGAUC